UACGUGGGGUGCAAGCGUUGUCCGGAAUUAUUGGGCGUAAAGAGCUCGUAGGCGGUGUGUCACGUCGAUCGUGAAAACUUGGGGCUUAACUCUGAGCUUGCGGUCGAUACGGGCAGGCUAGAGUUCGGUAGGGGAGACUGGAAUUCCUGGUGUAGCGGUGAAAUGCGCAGAUAUCAGGAGGAACACCGGUGGCGAAGGCGGGUCUCUGGGCCGAUACUGACGCUGAGGAGCGAAAGCGUGGGGAGCGAACAGG
This 253-nucleotide ribosomal RNA is filed under the name uncultured bacterium. RNAcentral describes it as "partial 16S ribosomal RNA". It matches the Rfam family "Bacterial small subunit ribosomal RNA", at positions 524 to 776 of the family's 1533-position model. The record is from RNAcentral.